RNAcentral lists this ribosomal RNA (682 nucleotides) under uncultured Curvibacter sp. RNAcentral's name for it is "bacterial SSU rRNA". It matches the Rfam family "Bacterial small subunit ribosomal RNA", at positions 94 to 765 of the family's 1533-position model. Lineage: Bacteria; Pseudomonadati; Pseudomonadota; Betaproteobacteria; Burkholderiales; Comamonadaceae. The record is from RNAcentral.
AGUGGCGAACGGGUGAGUAAAGUAUCGGAACGUGCCCGGUCGUGGGGGAUAACGUAGCGAAAGUUACGCUAAUACCGCAUACGAUCUAUGGAUGAAAGCGGGGGAUCGCAAGACCUCGCGCGAUUGGAGCGGCCGAUAUCAAAUUAGGUAGUUGGUGGGGUAAAGGCUCACCAAGCCGACGAUCUGUAGCUGGUCUGAGAGGACGACCACCCACACUGGGACUGAGACACGGCCCACACUCCUACGGGAGGCAGCAGUGGGGAAUUUUGGACAAUGGGCGCAAGCCUGAUCCAGCCAUGCCGCGUGCAGGAUGAAGGCUUUCGGGUUGUAAACUGCUUUUGUACGGAACGAAAAGGUUUGGCCUAAUAAGCUGAGCUCAUGACGGUACCGUAAGAAUAAGCACCGGCUAACUACGUGCCAGCAGCCGCGGUAAUACGUAGGGUGCGAGCGUUAAUCGGAAUUACUGGGCGUAAAGCGUGCGCAGGCUGAUAUGUAAGACAGAUGUGAACAUCCCCGGGCUCAACCUGGGAACUGCAUUAGUGACUGCAUAGCUGGAGUACGGCAGAAGGGGGGAUGGAAUUCCCGCGUGUAGCAGUGAAAUGCGUAGAUAUGCGGAGGAACCACCGAAUGGCGAAGGCCAUCCCCUGGGCCCUGUACUGACGCUCAUGCACGAAAGCGUGGA